UAUGUUUUAUGAAAAUAGCUGUAUUUUCUAAAACGAACAACAAUAAAAGAUGAGUGAGUAGAAUGCAUGGUUUCAAUUUUUGCAAAUCUCUUUAGUGUCUUCCUUAAUAGAAGACAGCUGGCUUCUCAGAGCUGCUUCUGCAGUCCGUCUAUUGUAGCGUUGCAUGUCGUGUGGUCUCUGGAAAACUCCACCGUGCACAUGGAAGAGAAAGAGUGAAAAAGGCAAAUAUCCUCUUAGUAUUGUUAGGAAACUAGUUUUGACUUCACAUACUCCCUGAAAGACUUGGGGUCUGGAACCACACUUGGAACUGCUGCUGGGAUGCAGUGAUGGAGAAAGGGCUCACAGGAGCGCAAGGCCUCAGAGAGGAGUCGUCAACUAUGUGAAGACUUCCGGCUUUAAAAAGCAUGGAGGUUGUUGCUGGGUGCGGUGGUUCACACCUGUAAUCCCAGUACUUUGGGAGGCCAAGGCGGGCGGAUCGCUUGAGGUCAGCUCAAGGCCAGUCUGGCCAACAUGGUGAAACCCUGUCUCUACUAAAAAUACAAAAAUUAGCCGGGCAUGGUGGCCCACUUCUGAAGCCCCAGCUACUCGGGAGGCUGAGGCAGGAGAAUCGCUUGAACCCUGGAAGCGGAGGUUGCAGUGAGCUGAGAUUGGGCCACCGCACUCCAGACUGGGCAACAAGAGCGAAACUCCAUCUCAAAAACAAAACAAAACAAAAGCAUGGAAAUUGUACGGUGAGCUUCAGUGCGAAUUCCGGUCGUGACUUGGUCUUAGAAUAGCUGAGGGACUAUGGACAGGUACCCUGCCCUCUCUGAACCUCAGUUUCCCGGUCUGCUUUAUGAAAAGAGUGGCCUCUGGCCGGGCGCGGUGGCUCACGCCUGCAGUCCCAACACUUUGGGAGGCCGGGGCUGGCGGAUCAUGAGGUCAGGAGAUCAAGACCAUCCUCGCUAACAUGGUGAAACCCCGUCUCUAUUAAAAAUACAAAAAAAAAAAAAAAUUAGCAGGGCGUGGUGUUGGGCGCCUGUAGUCCCAGCUACUCGGGAGGC
RNAcentral lists this long non-coding RNA (1043 nucleotides) under Homo sapiens (human). RNAcentral's name for it is "HSALNT0310081". Lineage: Eukaryota; Metazoa; Chordata; Mammalia; Primates; Hominidae. The record is from RNAcentral.